Lethenteron reissneri (Far Eastern brook lamprey) is the source of this 461-nucleotide long non-coding RNA. RefSeq lists it as uncharacterized. The record is from RefSeq and is a predicted model, not a curated record. Lineage: Eukaryota; Metazoa; Chordata; Hyperoartia; Petromyzontiformes; Petromyzontidae.
GUGGCUCACACAGAGCCAUUGUGGGGGGUUUCACAGAUCGCAACUAAAAGCACUUGUGUGGUUCAAGUACACAGAGACGGAUCAAUUCAAAUGACGGCGUUUUUGCUGCUGCGGACAGAACAAAAUGGGAAGGUGAAUGCUUGUGGCCUGACAGCUGCAAGGGGCUGCUAUAAAAAGAGAAGCCGCAUUUUAUUUGGCAUUGACGAUUUGGGGGCGGCGCGAUUCCUGGCCCUUUCCCUGUUUAUCCGGCAGCCCGCAACGAGCGGCCGGGGAGAGCUGAGAGAACGCAGAGCAGGAAAUGAAUAGCGACCUUCGCCGGGGCUGUCCCUGCCAAGUCCACGCUUCCUCAUCUCAUUUACUGUCUCUCUGGCCGCCAUGUGACAGCGCCGAAUAAACCUGGAGAAGGGGAGAACAACAACAACAACAAGAAGAACACUUCGACUUCCUCAGUAGAAGCACGA